Uranotaenia lowii is the source of this 1522-nucleotide long non-coding RNA. RefSeq lists it as uncharacterized. The record is from RefSeq and is a predicted model, not a curated record. The transcript has 4 exons. Lineage: Eukaryota; Metazoa; Arthropoda; Insecta; Diptera; Culicidae.
UCUGGCUUAAUGUUCAAGCUCUAAAGUCAACGCUCAAUAAAUCAAACAAAACAACAUUGAAUUUGAUGCCCGGUUGAUCGCGAUAAACGGUUAACUGAAUGAUCUGGAAAUUGUCGAAGCUGCUGCAAAAAAACUGGAAAGCUCGUUUGCGCCAGGACCUGACGGAAUCCCAUCAGCUAUUUAUUGUCGAUGCAUCGAAGCAGUAUCAUCACCUCUGGCUCGAAUUUUUAACCGGUCUUUCCAGCAACGGAAAUUUCCAGAGAUGUGGAAAACUUUGUUUAUGUUUCCGAUUUUCUAAAAUUGGCGAACGUCGGAACGUUAAACAAUACCGAGGAAUCACUAGCUUGUCCGCAGGUUCCAAGCUGUUCGAGAUAAUAGUUAGUCAAGCCUUACUACAGGCUUCAUUGCAAUAUAUUGCUUCGGAACAACAUGGGUUUAUGCCUGGAAGAUCGACGAUGGAACCAAGUCAAUCGAGUGCCAGGUCGACCAAGUCAAUCAAGUCAACACAGUAAAUCCUUCCAAUUUCGUGGUAGCUCUGGGCAACAAGUUGAGAAAGUGGAGUGCUUCCAGUAUCUUGGUAGCCAGAUAACGCCUGAUGAUGACCAGAAAAGACAUCGAAACCCGGAUCAGAAAGGCCCGAUUUGCGUUUGCGAGUGACCGGAACAUCUGGUAGUCACGCAAGAUCUCACUACGAACGAAAAUCCGAAUCUCCAACUCAAAUGUCAAAUCCGUAUUGUUGUAUGAGUUUGAAACUUGGUGCACAUAUGCGGUAACGACGCGAAAACUACAGCCCUAUGCACCGGAGGAUCGGCGCGGGAACAUUAACAAUCCCACAUACCUGUACCACUCGAUGCGGACCGCAUCAUCAUCCAAACGUGAAUUGGAACCGGGCGGAUUGCUUCCUCCAGCAUGAUUUGACGAACUGCUUCCAAUAUGGCACUUGAGAACGACAGUUCCUCCCUUUUCUGCACUCUCAUGUUUGACCAGCUGGACCACCGGAUUGAUUGUGUCUGUAGGAAAAAAAGAAAAACAGAAACGAUAUAAGAAUUUUAAAGUUACUCUCUAAAUUUGUUGACAAAGGACAUCUGAGAAAUAUAAAACUUUCAAGAAUAAGAUAAACCGAAUACCGUCGAUUGACUCACUAAACGCUACGCGUUCUCGGAGGAUGAAGCUCAACAUUAUUGCCCUAAUCAAUGGUUAUCGGAAAAGUUUCGCUCGGCGAAAAGCGGACCAUUUCUCACCGAGACACAUCUUCUCGGCUUCACACCCCAGCAAUUGUCGAGUCUUUGUGGAAAAACUUUUUCGUUCAACUUACGCCGAUACCCUCUCAGUAUACAGUUUGUUGGACAAAGAAGAUGAACGAAAAAAAAACUAAGCCCGAAUCACGCGACAAUAACCGCGAACGAAACGGCCGUCGAUGUUGCUCCCCGCCGUAAGAACGAGAAAAAAAAAUACGGCAAAACUAAUAAAAUCUGAUUGGCCAUUGAAUCGAAUCGAAUUUCGAUUUAUCAUAUUACCACGU